RNAcentral lists this long non-coding RNA (1508 nucleotides) under Gossypium raimondii (Peruvian cotton). RNAcentral describes it as "long non-coding RNA (GRAI_LNC009001)". The record is from RNAcentral. Lineage: Eukaryota; Viridiplantae; Streptophyta; Magnoliopsida; Malvales; Malvaceae.
CACAACUUAUACAUUUUAAACACCAAUAAAACAUCCAACAAAAUGCCAUUACAGUUCAACCUAUACAUGCCAUUAUAAAAUUGGCCAAAACAUUCAAAAAUUACCGAUAUUUAUGCUAGAUAGUGUGAGAUCUUCGACGAGCUUUCAAUGAGCUUCCAGUAAUCUAUAAAACAUAGGAAAGAAACUAUGUAAGCAAUUAAUGUUUAGUAAGUUCGUAUAGUUCAAAACAUAACUUACCAUUUUAAUUUGCAUAACAUAAAGCAUAAGUACAUUAAAGUUCAAAUCAUAAGCUUGAUAUUAACCUAUACAUCACUAUCAGUACACAAGUUAGCACAUUUGUACAUAACUCAUUUGAACUAACCAUAUGAUAAGUCAUUUUCCAUAUGAAAUACAUCAUUUGAUUCAUACAUUCUUUCCAUAAGCUUAUGCAUAAUUCCAUUUGAAAACUUACCAUUUCAAUCCCUUUUCUUGCCUGUUAAACCAUCUAGAAUUUCAUCGGAUACUCGGGAAAGCUCACACGAAGUGUGCCUCAACAUAUAACCAUAACUUUCCUUUACAUCAUUGCUUACACGAGCUGUGAAAAGGGCCUGCUCACACGAGCUGUGGGUCGGAAUGUGAGCUACACGAUGCUGCUCACACGAGUUGUGGAGUAUCUGCAACAGAUGCAGGACCUCAGCCAUCAGUAGGACAUUCAAGACCAACACUCGAAACAUGAAAUCCUUAAUGACAUGUCAUUUGUAUCCUACGAAUUCCUAAGGUUCAAUCGGGACUCGAUAUCCGUUAAUUCAUCAUAGUAUUGAUAGGUUUAUACAUUGAUCAUUUGCAUUAUAAAUAACAUAAUAAUAUUCAAUUUAAAUACAUAAACAUGAUAGUCGUUCAUACGAACUUACCUCGAUAACUAAGGCAUAGAAAUUAAAUCGAGCUAAUCUGAAGCUUUGGUUUUGCCUCAAUCUAGGUCCGUACGUGAUUUAUCUUGAUCUAAAUAGAUAAUUAUAUUCAAUUAAGUACUGUAAUUAACCUCAAACAUUCAAUUCAAUCCACAUUUCAUAUUUAUGCAAAAUCACUAUUUUGCCCCUAACAUUUUAACUAUUCACAAUUUAGUCAUUAAGCUUACAAAUUGAAGUCUAAUCAUUUUAAUCCCUCUUAUAAGAUAACCAAAAUCUUUAGGGACUUAAUCCAACCCAAAUAAAUCAUCAUUUCAUAAAUUUAUCAUGAAUUUUUACUAAUUUUACAAACAAAUCCCUAAAUGCAAAUUUAAUCAAAAAUCACUUUACAAAACUUGUUUGUUUCUCAACAAAGCCUCAUAAUCUAUCAUUUAACAUCAAAAACCAUUCAAGAACAUUCAUGGCAUAACCCUCAAUCUUUAACAGUUUUACAAAUUGACUCAUGGACUAGCUAGAUUAAGUUAAAAUGAUCUCAAAAACAUAGAAAUAAUUAAAAAUAGGGUUCAAAAUCAUACCAUGCAAACAAGGAAGCUUGACCAAAUGCCCUAGCUAGCUUCAAUGGCG